This 693-nucleotide long non-coding RNA is filed under the name Monodelphis domestica (gray short-tailed opossum). Its description in RNAcentral is "lncRNA (ENSMODG00000048815.1)". The record is from RNAcentral. Lineage: Eukaryota; Metazoa; Chordata; Mammalia; Didelphimorphia; Didelphidae.
CAUUCAUAAAUAAAAGACCAGACCUGAACAGAAAAUUUGAAGUCCAACCACGGAACUCAAGAGAAUCAUCAAAAGAAAGGACUUCAAGAAGGUGGAACAUAUCCAAUCCACUGGCAAGUUAUCAAAAUGUGCUCUAUCAAAGACAAGUUGCCCAUGACACGACAUGAAAAAGUUUUUCCUGAACCACAUGGAAGAGACAUGAAGAAAGAGAGGAUUUGCAGGACAAGCCAGGCAUGAAGACCAAGCUAGGGACCUAAUCUGCAAAAUCAAGGUGAAGAUUCCAAAUGGAAUGUUCCCAGGAGACACAGUUGAGAGCCUGGCCAGAGAAAAGAAACUGAGAGUGGGGGCUCUCUCUCUCUGGGGGUGACUGACCAACAGAGAAACAUCUUCUCUGGGUUCCUGACCAAAAGAGACUGGUUUUUUCUGAUCUAGGCAGAGAGACCUUUGGGGUUUUGAUAGAGUCUGGACUUGAAUUACUCAAGCAGAGAUCUGCCUAAAGAAAGAAGAAAAGAAGAAAAAUACUCAUCCUCCAUCUCUCUGGCUGUCUCUGUGUCACAGCUGUGGCUAGACUGACAUUUCCCACACCCUCCUAAUUCUCCUUGUAGAUUAGGGACAAAUCUCAUCCCUCUCACCUCAAUCCCCAUUAUAUUUGUUACCAAUAAACCCCUUUACUUGAGAAAAGAAGAGUAAAGA